Molecule: ribosomal RNA, 324 nt
Filed under: uncultured Acidovorax sp.
Lineage: Bacteria; Pseudomonadati; Pseudomonadota; Betaproteobacteria; Burkholderiales; Comamonadaceae
Description: bacterial SSU rRNA
Rfam family: Bacterial small subunit ribosomal RNA
Source: RNAcentral
ACUCCUACGGGAGGCAGCAGUGGGGAAUUUUGGACAAUGGGCGCAAGCCUGAUCCAGCCAUGCCGCGUGCAGGAUGAAGGCCUUCGGGUUGUAAACUGCUUUUGUGCGGAACGAAAAGACUCUGGUUAAUACCUGGGGUUUUUGACGGUACCGUAAGAAUAAGCACCGGCUAACUACGUGCCAGCAGCCGCGGUAAUACGUAGGGUGCAAGCGUUAAUCGGAAUUACUGGGCGUAAAGCGUGCGCAGGCGGUUAUAUAAGACAGAUGUGAAAUCCCCGGGCUCAACCUGGGAACUGGAUUUGUGACUGUAUAGCUAGAGUACGG